AGGAGACACAGAAGAUGGAGGGAGGGAUGGCAGCCUACCCUGUGGCAACGCGGGAGUCGCGUUGCCGCAGGGGGCGCAUUGGGGUCCAGCCGUCCCCAGAACGCAGAUCAGAGGUAGUCGGACCUUUCCCGCUGGCGCGCAGCCUCAGCUAGGGUUUCCUAGACUAUCCAGGAAUUCCUGCCGACGUAGGCAGGUACCAGAGGCAACUGAACGCGUGAGACAUAGAGCAGAUGAGCUGAGAGGCAGCAAGAGAACUACGCAAGAAUCCGAUCACACCCUCCGCUUCUACGACGACCACCAACACCACCCAGAAGCCAACUUCCGAGAUGCCCCAAGCCAAGAUCAGGCAACACUCAGCUGAAUGUCAUCCCGUACCUCUUCGUCACAGCGGACCGCGGUCACGCUUAAAUGUGCAUUGAAGUGGAAGGUGAAUGUCUCUUUGCAUGGCAGUGUCUCUGCACACGGGAGAGGAGGGGCACACGUAUCCACCUGGCUCAAUAUCUAGCUGUAUUCAGGUGGAAUAGAGAACCAUGAACCCUCUGGACCUUUUCUGCUUUGGUCCUGUGCUUUUAACGUCUCAGGCCUAAGAGGCCCACCGAAUCCUUCUGCCUUGCUUCAGUACAUUUAAAAAGAAAAAAAAAGCAGGACAUUCCACCUGCCACCUCCAGAGGGUCCUCUAGGAUCCUUCUCCACUCCUGAAUUGAGCGAAGCGGUGCCGACCUCCACCCUUUGGGCACGAGCCCCUGUGCACUUGGGAGACUCCUGAACACCCUCGGAGAAGCCAGAAAGCCCCGGGAGAUGGCUCCGUCUGCUGCUGUACCAGACCGGGUCCUGCAAAGGAUGCAUCCUCCGAGCCUCCUCCCUGAACGUCCAGUGGGGCCUGCCCCGAUUCUACCUGAGGGACCCACUGGAGGAGAGGCACGGGGAUGCUGCCUGAGCAGCGGACCCUUCUGGCGCGGAGCAGGCUGUCCCCAGGCAGAGUCCGACGGGUCCUUCCUUCUGGGUGCCCCCGGCUUCCCGGACUCCAGCAGGCCUGGGAAGGCCCCGGGCCCCCUUAGCCGAUGCCCAGAGAGUCUCCAUUUCUCAAGCUUUGCCACCGAACUCAUCGGUCGGUGCGCCUCUGAUCGCAGGGCAAGGGCCUGCGCACCCCCAAAGACAAGCGGGGUCCCCGGAAGGCCCCCAGGCAGAAAUGAGCACCACGGGGAACGGCCCGCCUCCAAGACAACCUCGGGGACAUGGACACAACAAGACAGGGUGGCAAGUCUCAACAAGGCGGGUGCGCGGCGUCUGAGGGUGGCCGGGCCGGGCCGGGCCGGGCCUGGCCUUGCGUCCACCUCGUCAAGAACCGUCUGGGUACGGGCCCCGCGGGAUGCCCCGCGGCCCACCUUCCUCCCUAGGACGCAAGGAGGAACGCCCCGGCGCCGGCCAGCAGCGG
This 1435-nucleotide long non-coding RNA is filed under the name Homo sapiens (human). RNAcentral's name for it is "non-protein coding DANT2:3". The record is from RNAcentral. Lineage: Eukaryota; Metazoa; Chordata; Mammalia; Primates; Hominidae.